UAUAAGCACAAUCAUAAAUUUCCGUGUCCAGCUUUGACCAUCCGUCUUAUUUAAAAUUUUUUAUGUUUAGUAUUUUAAUUGUUAUUAGAUGAUAGAACAUAAAUAAUACUUUAUGCGUGAUUUAUAUUUUUUAUUUUUUCAAAAAAGUUUCAAAUAAGAUGGACGAUUAGAGUUGGACACGGAAACUCAUAGCUGCACUUAAA
Molecule: non-coding RNA, 203 nt
Organism: Oryza punctata
Lineage: Eukaryota; Viridiplantae; Streptophyta; Magnoliopsida; Poales; Poaceae
Source: Rfam